UACGUAGGGUCCGAGCGUUUGUCCGGAAUUACUGGGCGUAAAGGGCUCGUAGGUGGUUUGUCGCGUUGUUCGUGAAAACUCACAGCUCAACUGUGGGCGUGCGGGCGAUACGGGCAGACUAGAGUACUGCAGGGGAGACUGGAAUUCCUGGUGUAGCGGUGGAAUGCGCAGAUAUCAGGAGGAACACCGGUGGCGAAGGCGGGUCUCUGGGCAGUAACUGACGCUGGAGGAGCGAAAGCGUGGGGAGCGAACAGG
RNAcentral lists this ribosomal RNA (255 nucleotides) under uncultured bacterium. RNAcentral's name for it is "partial 16S ribosomal RNA". It matches the Rfam family "Bacterial small subunit ribosomal RNA", at positions 524 to 776 of the family's 1533-position model. The record is from RNAcentral.